AAGGGACUAAUUGUAAACAGGAUCGACCGGCGUGGUGCAGAGUAGUGGCAUCUGAUCUUGUUGAGAUGGAAAGUUAGGAUUUUGUUUUCCCAUAUAUAUCUCUCUCUCUCUCUCUCUCUCUGUGUCUCAGCUGUAUGCUUAAAUGAUGUUUGUAUUAUUGAUGAGGUAUUUGGGUUUCUUUUACGCUUUUGGGAGAGAUGAUGCUCUACUGGGUUGUGACAUAUAAAGUCACCAUUUCAAUCUGAAAACUAUUUGGUUUUUUGCUAAAGGAUAAACCUUUAUAUAUAGGUAUGAGUUUCAAUUGAUAAGGCUUCCAUCACCCAACCAUUCUGCCCCAUUUAAAAAUUUGGGUUGAUGUCAGCCUGUCUAUGUAAUUCUCGUUUUCAUUUAAAAUAAGAAAGAGAGAGAGAGAGAGAGAGAGAAAGAUCCACCACAUUGGCAACUCAUUCAUUUAGACUGAUUUGGCUUGUCAAGAAAUGUUAGAUGAUUCGUUUGGAUAAGCAGGACCAGUUGACAUAUACAUAUAAAGAGACUGUCAAUUUUGAGUUUCAAAUUUGUUAAUUGGUCUUGUACUUUUAAGAUAAGCAAAUCGAUAUAUAUAUAUAUAUAUAUAUAUAGAGAGAGAGAGAGAGAGAGAGAGAGAGAGAGAUCGUGUGUAGAUUAAUAAAUUAUAACAUGUUUAUUAAGUAGAUUAUAUAUGUUAUAUAUGAACAGAUUCUGUUUUUAAACAUAAUCCUUGCCAUUUUACUCCUCUAACAUGUUCAAACUUGAUUCAUCUGUUUUUUUUUUUUUUUUCUUUUUGGACCUCUGCUAACAAAGUUCUCUUUUAUUAUAUACUUAUAAAAGGAGACACGGGUGAGAAGCUACGAGCAGAAUUGGUUUUUUCUCCUUUUUCUAUUUUGGUUAAAGAGGAAUAAUAAUAUAUACAUAUAUACACCCAUACACACACACACACACACACGUAUAAAGGAUAAAAGAUGAGUUGAAU
This 988-nucleotide long non-coding RNA is filed under the name Carica papaya (papaya). Its description in RNAcentral is "long non-coding RNA (CPAP_LNC016084)". Lineage: Eukaryota; Viridiplantae; Streptophyta; Magnoliopsida; Brassicales; Caricaceae. The record is from RNAcentral.